Eurytemora carolleeae is the source of this 1193-nucleotide long non-coding RNA. RefSeq lists it as uncharacterized. NCBI's taxonomy places the organism in Eukaryota, Metazoa, Arthropoda, Copepoda, Calanoida, Temoridae. The record is from RefSeq and is a predicted model, not a curated record. The transcript has 3 exons.
AGGAGCAGUAAAUAUUUAAGUUCUGCCCAGGGAGGAAAAUUAGCAAUUUCCUUUGGUGAAUCAUAUUUCAUUAGAAAACUGUUAAUGCCUAUUCUGGUUCCCUUGAAACUCUGGUUCUCCUAUCAAACUGUUCUUAAACUCAAAUCCUCCACGUGAAAGAAUACAUUCAAGACACAGCGCAUCCAACUGAGCAUGACAAUGCAAAGACGACAAAUAUAACUCAAAUCCUCCACGUGAAAGAAUACAUUUAAGACACAGUGCAUCCCACUGAACAUGAUGAUGCAAAGACGACAAAAUAUAAACUCGAAUAUUCGGAAUGUUGGAAGUUUUAGUCUUGUGUACAACUAUGUAAAAAUACGAAAAUUACUUAUUAAUCUUAAGAAACCCAAAAUUUAUUAGGAAAAAAACAGAUUAAAAAAAGAGAUUAUCUUUUAUUAGGCUUUCUGAAAUACUCUUCAAUCUUAGAUGAUUGGGGGCCGAAACUAAUGAAAUUGAGCUAUGUCGCUGAACUACAUACUGCCGGUUCAAAUUUAAACUACCAAUUCCUAGUUUAAGAUCGGUGAUUCAAAUUUGAACCAGCGCAGCGGUAGGAAAAGAAAUCUAUAUAGUAAGUUGCAGCAAAUUGAUUGAUAAUUGAAAACCGUGCAUUUAUAAUGUUAAAAGCUUCUUGCGAUAAAUUUGCCAGUUAUCACAAUGAUAAUUAAAGUAAUUAUUAAAAUGAUAAAUGUUUUUUCAUAGAAUUAUGUAUCUAUUUUUUAUAUUUGAUGUAAAUAAAAAACUUUUCAAAUUUAAUUUUUCUUCAAUAAUAUAUUUUGUAAAUAUAAACAUUUAUUUAGUAUUUUAUACAAGCAGUUCAUUGUUUAUAUUGAAGUAAAGGGAAUAGCACUCUGCUUAGUAGUGCAAACCCCGAAAAUCGGCAAUGGUUUAUAGAAGACGACAUUUAUUCUAUUACUUAAAUUGUAAUUUACUAUUAUUUAACCUAAAAAUGAUAAAGUAUGGUUUAGACGAUGUGUUACUGUAAACUAUGUACAAGUGAACUCGUAUUUAUAUAUUUCAUAAUUGUUCCUAGUUGGAAAUCUGCACUUCAGAUAUAUCCACAAGUUAUUUAUUUUGGUGGUCAGUCACUUGAACUAACCUCAUCGGAACUAUCAAUAUUUUCACUUUUGUUUGUUAACAUGUUUUGAUUAAGUUUU